RNAcentral lists this ribosomal RNA (278 nucleotides) under Ranitomeya sirensis (Sira poison frog). RNAcentral's name for it is "partial 12S ribosomal RNA". It matches the Rfam family "Bacterial small subunit ribosomal RNA", at positions 875 to 1282 of the family's 1533-position model. The record is from RNAcentral. Lineage: Eukaryota; Metazoa; Chordata; Amphibia; Anura; Dendrobatidae.
GGGAACUACGAGCCAAGCUUAAAACCCAAAGGACUUGACGGUACCCCAUAUCCCCCUAGAGGAGCCUGUCCUAUAAUUGAUAAUCCCCGUUUAACCUCACCACUUCUAGCAAUUCAGCCUGUAUACCUCCGUCGUCAGCUUACCACGUGAGCGUUAGUGAGCUCAAUGUUAUUUCAACCAAACGUCAGGUCAAGGUGCAACAUAUGAAGCGGAAAGAGAUGGGCUACACUUUCUACCAUAGACCACACGAAAGACUAACUAUGAAACCUAGUCAGAAG